RNAcentral lists this ribosomal RNA (453 nucleotides) under uncultured Porphyromonadaceae bacterium. Its description in RNAcentral is "partial 16S ribosomal RNA". It matches the Rfam family "Bacterial small subunit ribosomal RNA", at positions 341 to 792 of the family's 1533-position model. Lineage: Bacteria; Pseudomonadati; Bacteroidota; Bacteroidia; Bacteroidales; Porphyromonadaceae. The record is from RNAcentral.
ACGGGAGGCAGCAGUGAGGAAUAUUGGUCAAUGGGCGGAAGCCUGAACCAGCCAAGUCGCGUGAAGGAUGAAGGUAUUAUGUAUUGUAAACUUCUUUAGCAGCAGAGUAAUAAGGGGGUCGUGACCUCCGAUGCAAGUAUGCUGAAAAUAAGGAUCGGCUAACUCCGUGCCAGCAGCCGCGGUAAUACGGAGGAUCCGAGCGUUAUCCGGAUUUAUUGGGUUUAAAGGGUGCGCAGGCGGUUUUUUAAGUCAGUGGUUAAGUCGUGAGGCUCAACCUCAUCACGCCAUUGAUACUGGAAGACUUGAUUGCGGUUGAGGUUGGCGGAAUUCGUCGUGUAGCGGUGAGAUGCAUAGAUAUGACGAAGAACACCGAUUGCGUAGGCAGCAGACCAGGCCGUAAAUGACGCUCAUGCACGAAAGUGCGGGGAUCGAACAGGAUUAGAUACCCUGGUA